This 467-nucleotide ribosomal RNA is filed under the name uncultured bacterium. RNAcentral's name for it is "partial 16S ribosomal RNA". It matches the Rfam family "Bacterial small subunit ribosomal RNA", at positions 28 to 506 of the family's 1533-position model. The record is from RNAcentral.
GACGAACGCUGGCGGCGUGCUUAACACAUGCAAGUCGAACGGAAAGGCCCUGCUUUUGUGGGGUGCUCGAGUGGCGAACGGGUGAGUAACACGUGAGUAACCUGCCCUUGACUUUGGGAUAACUUCAGGAAACUGGGGCUAAUACCGGAUAGGAGCUCCUGCUGCAUGGUGGGGGUUGGAAAGUUUCGGCGGUUGGGGAUGGACUCGCGGCUUAUCAGCUUGUUGGUGGGGUAGUGGCUUACCAAGGCUUUGACGGGUAGCCGGCCUGAGAGGGUGACCGGCCACAUUGGGACUGAGAUACGGCCCAGACGCCUACGGGAGGCAGCAGUGGGGAAUAUUGCACAAUGGGCGGAAGCCUGGUGCAGCAACGCCGCGUGCGGGAUGACGGCCUUCGGGUUGUAAACCGCUUUCGCCUGUGACGAAGCGUGAGUGACGGUAAUGGGUAAAGAAGCACCGGCUAACUACGG